CAGAGCUAUAUAUAAUAUAGAUAAUAGUGAAAUCAAGAUGGAUAUAUGUGUUUAAAAAGAGGGAUGAAAGAUACCAGAGAGACAGUCAAACUAAUUCUCUGUCAGAACUAUAACCCAACUACUGGACCACUGUGCUUGGAGCGGCAGUUCAAAGCUAAUUGAAAAGAAUAUGAUUUGAUGAAGCAAUAGUGGACAUGACAUUUGCAGAUCCAUUCUGUGUCAAAUGCCAAAGGAGGACUUAACAUGUGAAUAAUGAUAGCAAUAAAGAUUAUAGAAUAGAA
Mytilus californianus (California mussel) is the source of this 281-nucleotide long non-coding RNA. RefSeq lists it as uncharacterized. The record is from RefSeq and is a predicted model, not a curated record. The transcript has 2 exons. NCBI's taxonomy places the organism in Eukaryota, Metazoa, Mollusca, Bivalvia, Mytilida, Mytilidae.